Molecule: unclassified non-coding RNA, 89 nt
Filed under: Pseudomonas jessenii
Lineage: Bacteria; Pseudomonadati; Pseudomonadota; Gammaproteobacteria; Pseudomonadales; Pseudomonadaceae
Source: RNAcentral
UGUGGGAGCGAGCUUGCUCGCGAUAGCGUAGUGUCAGGCGAAUCAUCAUUGCCUGACGGAUCGCCAUCGCGAGCAAGCUCGCUCCCACA